GUAGGCUCGGCCAAUGGUUGGUCAGCAUCACAGUGAUUGCCCGCCCCUUCCUCAUCCUCUGUAUAAAAGAAACCAGAUCUCUGACUGGGGAAAGCUGUUUCUUUCAGGCAUUAGUCCCCUGACUUCUCAGGCUGAUGGCUUUCUGAUUAGUCGUUUUUCCUGCCCCAAGAACUUGCCUCCCGAUGUACUGGUCUUUUGUGUGGUGAGCAGAAGUCCUCAACAACUCUGUCAGAAGUGACCUGACAUUCCUCCUGUGGAGUGGAAUCUCAGACAAAUGUGCCCUCCAGUCUUCAAAGAUGGCUCCCUAAAGCUGAAAACUCCCUCCCCUAUAGAAGCUAAAAUCCACAACAAGCACUCUAAAAAGGCCCCAGUUCACACUUGGAAGUUUGGAAAUUAAAAAAUCACAAACCAAGCCACAACCUACUUAGAUCACCUGAGAAUAGUCUCCUCUUCUUCUCUGGACUUCGUGAUUUCCACCCAGCCCUCCACUUCUACCAUAACCUCAGUGGGCUUUCUGGAUUCCUGACAAGAGAGCCAGCUUCCACACAAAUCCUGGGACUAAUCUUCACCCCCAAUGAGGGACAUAAAAGAAUCGCUGAAAUAUGGCAAUAAUUCACUAGUUCAACCUCAAGGUGUCAAGAUGCAGAGGACCCUAACCACAGUGCUAGUUUAGACAGAAGACAGAUGGCAAAGAUGGAUUUACUAUGAACUCAUGAAUCUCAUACUGCAGGGAACCUCACUUGUAUGAGCUCCUUUCAAGACCCUGGCAGGAGCCCAAGAAAUCUAUGCACAAGGUCACUUGUGUUUGUAAAUUUGCAAAACAGAGAAGGCAAAUUGAGGCACUAUUACUUCAUUUUGGAGAGGAACUACUUGGGACCAGCAGCAAGUCCUUAGACCUUCACUAAACUAUGCCAAGGAAUGAAGUUAAGGGUUAAAUGAACAUUAAAGGAGAAAAAAAAAAAUGCCUGCUAUUUGGGAAGUGUGAACUGGGUGGUACAGUUGAAGAAAAAAACUCAAGAAACAUCACACAGUACAGAAUUUUCUCUCCCCAAAAUGAAGCGUCAUUUCAGGUUUCCACCUACAUAUGUCAAUUUAAUUAUAAAACAGAUUUUUAUAAAUCAGAAGCAAUAAUGGGGUGAUGGGUGAGUGGGUGUGUGUGUGUGUGCAUGCAUGUGUAAUUUUUAAAUAUUCACUGUGCAGAUUUUACACUCCAGAGAAUUAAUCAAACUGUCAGGCCGAAAACCAAAAACUGAAAAGCACACACAGUGGUAUGCCAUGGUAACUUAGCAACCAGAGCUGAAGAGGUUAAGACAGAAAUUGCUGUCAUUUUCUUAUAUUUAAGAAUUUCUACCUGACUGUCUCCCCACUCUCGCCCACCUCCCAAACACACAUUCGGAUUCCUCCAGGUGGUUGUUCACUGAAUCAAAUCUUUUAUAUAUUUUAAUGAUCUUGUGUUUGACAAAUUCUAUUUGUAGAGGACACAAGGAAUCACCUACUGAGUACAGAAUUUCAGAGCAUCUGUGGAUACUUCACUGAUCAAAAGUGCAAGUCUUUUGUGCACAACACAGGUGCUACCAACUGGACUGAUCAUUUCCCAUGAGGCUGUGAAACGCACACACAUCACGUGCAAUCCCUGUCCAUAGGUAAGGUGCUUGAGGGACGUGGCCAGUGCCAUGACAGCUCUGUCUGGCUCUAAGCGGUCAUUCUGCUGCCAGGGGGGCAGUUCUGCAGCGGCCCCUGAACGCGCAGCACUGCAGGGCCUUCAGAGAGCAGGAUCUCUGCUGGCAAGGGAAUUCCGUCUCAAAACACACAAAGGCGCUCUUGAUUGUGAGAUCUGACCAAAGAGCGGAAAUUAAGGAGGGGGGAAAGGCAUUACUCUGGUACUUCAAAUGCAGAUCUAUUUAACACUUUGCAUAAUGCCCUAAUGGCCUUGAAUGAAUGAUGAAAGAGAGUGGACAGCAUAUCUGAUCCCUCCAACCUCAUCAAUGCUGGCCUGUCUACUGAGUACUCUUUAUGCCAGGUUCUCACAUCAAGGAAAAGGACCUUACUUGAGGAUAGCAGUGGCAAAGGUGAAGUACCACCAACUACAUCAUUCUCCUUCUCCAGUGCUGCCCUAGGACAAGUUGCUGAUGAAAUCGUAUGUUUUCUCUAAGACAGAUACGGCUGGUGAUAGACUGAAGACUUUCUAAACCAUCUUGACAGUUGCACGAUUGUGCUGUAUUUUUGGAGAGCCUUCCUAAAAAAAAGUCAGAAUCUAAGGGAUCAGAUGGUGUAUGAAGUGCCCAGAAGAAACAGGAGGAGCCUGCCAUGCAGAUGGUUCCACGCCAUAGGUUCAUCAAAUAUUCCUGAACUUCGAAUAGCUUCCAGCAAGGAGAGAAAACUAAAUGAUUGUGCGAGUGUGUAUGCUGAAGGGUUCUGGGAGAGCUUCAUUCCGAACUCUCAAGAGCUCCUACACUCAUCACACCAUGAGACAACAUAAAAUGACCUGUUCCAGAGACCUUCAUAUUUUGGAACAUCUUUAUCUAUCCGGCUCUGACUAUUCCCUCUGCUCCAACUCUUCCAUAUGAGCACGGGCUCCGGGAAGCACAGGCCUCAGUAGCUGCAGCUCGGACGCUCCAGAGUGUACACUCAGUGACUGGCCAUCAGCUUAGUUGCCCGGAGGCAUGUGGGAUCUUCCCGGACCAGGGAUCGAACCCACGUCCCCUCCAUUGGCAGGCAGCUUCUUAACCACAGGACCCCCAGAGAAACGCCUGUGAGGGUGAGUUUUAAAUACUCCAUGAAAACUACCUAGCCCCAUUCCUUUGCCUCUUGAAAAUAUUCCUCCUUUUUUAUUGUUUUGACACUUCAAUUUCUAUUUUAUUAUAGGCUUUGUUUUGUUUUUUUUUAAUUAUCAGUUUACCAAGGAAAGAUGAUAGACUGUUCUCCCUGGCCUGGAACCAUCUGUGCCCAUGAGUCGUAACCAGAGUCUCUCAAAAUCAUUGUUGAAAAUUUUUCUGAACCUUAGCCCUUGACUUGUCUCCCUGCAGAGAUGCAGGUCCUCUGAUAUGCUAUGAGUCUCAGAGUAACUUUUACCAAUGACAGCUGUCAUAUCUCAGGUAUGUCAGGGCUGUAAAGUAAUAUUAAAAACCACCAGUCUACUGAAGAACAUGUAUUCUGGGUUGAGUGGGGGUUGUUAGAAAACAGAGUCUUAGAUUUUUCCCCUGAGUAUCUCAUCCUCUUUGUGUACACACGCUAUUCCCUCAUCUGGGAAGUCCUUUUCGACUUUUCUGAUUCACCUUUAAGUGCCUGGCUCAGCCGUCUUCAUUCUGGGAUGCCGGCUCCAGGCUACCAAGCAUUUGUACCAGCUUCUGUGUUCUCCUCAAACCUUGAAGUUAACUUCUGAUGCCUUGCACAAAAUCCUUGCAAAGUUUGCCCUUCCUCUUCCUAGACUUCCAGGUCUUGAAAGUUAGGGGUGAUAGAGAUCACAUCUUUACAUCUUGAGUACAAAAAAGCCUGCCUGCCUUACAGUGAGGGAUCAAUAUAGGCCACUGAAUGGAUGAAAACUGAUGCUUCAGGGAGAGGACAGGCUGAGUUGGAAGGAAUUGAGAAAUGGAUUGUAGGGAGAAGUGUGAACAACACAAAGACCGCCUAGGGGCCCUUUAACACAGUGAGGACGAAGACCAAAAAACCAAAGAUGAAUCUUCUCUACUUCACAAAUCUGUCCCUAGCCAGUUAGAAAUGAACAGCAAACAGAAAAAGCAUCACUUUAAGUGUGAAGGUGUCAAGGUUGCUUCUUUAGCUCCCAGUGUCCAGCAGUCCAUUCCUCCUAAUUUGGGGUGAGAGGGUAGAUGGUAAGAUUGCACCCCACCUGUAAGUACUGAUAAUUUUCUUGCUCCAGCCUCAACACGGCGAGCCAAAGGAGAUGGCGCUGGUGAUGGGUUAAAAAUAAUAGAGAUGCUCUGAAAGUAUGAUGAAAGCUUCAGGGUAAAUAUUAUUUUAACAUCAGAGGCUGCAGCAAUAAGACUAAAUCCUAGACCGUAUGAAAAAAUAAUGAGAAAGAUUUGAGAGUGUUGUUGUUUCUAAUAAUAAUAAAAAAGGAAGAAUGUUAUCAUUUAAGUCCAUCAAAACUGAAGCAGCCUGACAGACACCAUAAAAAGCAGAGUUUCAGGAGCAGAUGGAGACUGCCUUCACUUUGCACACGGUGACUGGGGGAAACGUCUCUCGUCCUUUACCUUUAUAUCAGAAAAUUAGCGCGAGAGCAGGGCCCGUCGCUCUGCAGCAAAAGAGAGAGAGAGAGAGAGAGGGAGAGAAGGCCUGAUUCCUUAAAUCUCACCUGACUUUGCAGAUAAUCACUUGCCCAGAUGCCCAAGGUAAGUGGAAAUUGAAAUGGUCCUCACCAAUGGUAAAAACAAGCUGGUUCCUUCUGAAAAACACCUAAAAGAUAUAUGUGAACUCUCUCCCUGUGGCUUGCUACCCUGUUCCUCAUCUGAAUACCCUACUUUCAUUCUUUGAGUGCCAGGGUUCUUCAAAAGCCAGUGAAAAGGAAACACAGAGUUGGCCAAGCCACACAUUAGGAGCAGAUUCUGUUUGGAGAAAGCCGUGGGUAAAAUUACACACACCUGCAUGAGCCCUGAAAUUGGAAAGCAGCCAAAUGAAGGAGACACAGUGCAGAUCGCCUGGAGAAGGGUGCAACCACACGACAGAAGGAUGCUGGGUCCCUGCAGGGCCUCUCCCUGAUGGCAGAUGUGUCCAGUGAACUCUGUUUACAUCCUAAGGCUUCAUCUCAAGACCAAGAGAAAUCUAUUCAGAGCUCCAUAUGCUGUUACUGAUAAGCACCGUCAGGACCAAGAAUAUACAAACAAGCGGAACUGUAUUUCUUCUCAAACAUUUUGUUUCUGUGUAGAUCUAAAGAGUGAGAGUAAAGACAGUAACAAAGCUAGUGAGAAAGCAACUUUUCCUAAGUUAUUGUUUAUGUGUGUGCAUUUGUGUGUUUAUUCAGAGAUACAAGUUAAUAGAUUUUUUUGGUAACCAGAUGCAAAAUGUUAGGCACCUUGUUUGGAAAAAGAAAAGAAUGUGUGGACUCUACCUUACCUGGUCUUGUUCAUGAAAAUGGUCCCAUUUGGACACAUAAGCAGCCAGAGGGUUUCAUAUAGUUAGAACAUGCACUUAACUAAAUACUACCUGAAUUGGUCAGCUGGUCAAUUCUGGUUGAACAAAAGCAAUAGAAAGCAAAAUAGAAUUUGUUUUAAGAAAAGGCAAUCAAUCACCCUUUCAUUUUCCCCUUAAGAGCACUUAAAACAUGAUAUAACUUGGAUUUACUUCUUGUUUACCUAAAGAAACGUUUGCAUCAUUAUCCGGAGGCAGUCCUAUGAAAUAUACAGGAGCCAUGUAUUUUAAAACACCUGUAAAAUGACCCAAUGCAGCUCUGUCAGGCCCAUGGUACAUGAAACGCAAAAUAAAAAUAAAAACAAUUUCCAGCUUUUUCUUUUCCCUAACAAGCAGGAAAACCUAUUUUAAUACCUGAAUAUUCAGCUGUAAUGUGUGUAAUUUUGUAGUCCCGCCAUAAAGAAUAUUUUUCCUCCUUGUACAAAGACAUAACAGAUGCAAUUAGAGGAUAUUAUAUUGUCAUAUGCAU
Non-coding RNA from Odocoileus virginianus texanus, 5614 nucleotides. The record is from RefSeq and is a predicted model, not a curated record. NCBI's taxonomy places the organism in Eukaryota, Metazoa, Chordata, Mammalia, Artiodactyla, Cervidae.